RNAcentral lists this ribosomal RNA (1572 nucleotides) under Thallomys paedulcus (Acacia rat). RNAcentral's name for it is "16S ribosomal RNA". It matches the Rfam family "Bacterial large subunit ribosomal RNA", at positions 367 to 2925 of the family's 2925-position model. Lineage: Eukaryota; Metazoa; Chordata; Mammalia; Rodentia; Muridae. The record is from RNAcentral.
ACUAACCCUAGCCCAAACCCCCAUCAACCUAAUCAUACCUAAAACCAAAAUAAAACAUUUAGUACAAUGAAAGUAUUGGAGAAAAAAAUCACCCAUCAGGAGCUAUAGAACAAGUACCGCAAGGGAAAGAUGAAAGAUUAAUUAAAAGUAAAAACAAGCAAAGAUAAAACCUUGUACCUUUUGCAUAAUGAAUUAACUAGAACACCCCUAGCUAAACGAAUUAAAGCUAGAAACCCCGAAACCAAACGAGCUACCUAAAAACAACUUCAUGAGUUAACCCGUCUAUGUAGCAAAAUAGUGGGAUGAUUUUUAGGUAGAGGUGAAAAGCCCAGCGAGCUUGGUGAUAGCUGGUUACCCAAAAAAUGAAUUUCAGUUCAACUUUAAAUUUACCAUAAGAAUAUAAAAUCUAAACGUAAAUUUAAAAUAUAGCCAAAAGAGGGACAGCUCUUUAGGAACGGAAAAAACCUUACAUAGUGAAUAAACAACCACAUACUUAACCAUUGUAGGCCUAAAAGCAGCCAUCAAUAAAGAAAGCGUUCAAGCUCAACAUUAAAAAACAACUAAUUAAGCCACUUAUAAUAAAUUCCUAUUUUACACAUUGGGUCAAUCUAUUAACUUAUAGAUGAGAUACUGUUAAUAUGAGUAACAAGAAGUAAUUCUCCAAGCACAAGUGUAUAACAACUCGGAUAACCAUUGAUAGUUAUAGGACUAUAGAUAAUAAUCCCCUAAUAAAUUUAUCUAAAAUUAAAACCGUUAGCCCAACACAGGAGUGCUCUAAGGAAAGAUUAAAAGGAAUAAAAGGAACUCGGCAAACAUGAAUCCCGCCUGUUUACCAAAAACAUCACCUCUAGCAUUACAAGUAUUAGAGGCAUCGCCUGCCCAGUGACUGAAGUUAAACGGCCGCGGUAUCCUGACCGUGCAAAGGUAGCAUAAUCACUUGUUCCUUAAUUAGGGACUAGUAUGAAUGGCUGGACGAGGAUUUAACUGUCUCUUAUUCCUAAUCAGUGAAAUUGACCUUCCAGUGAAGAGGCUGGAAUAACACAAUAAGACGAGAAGACCCUAUGGAGCUUUAAUCAUUUAGCUUAAUUAUCACAAGCAACAAACCUAUUGGACUAAAAAUAUUAAUAAUAAGCUAAGAAUUUCGGUUGGGGUGACCUCGGAGAACAAAAAACCCUCCGAAUGAUUUUAGCCUAGACUCACAAGUUGAAGCAACCUACAAAAUCUUAUUGACCCAAAUAAUCUUGAUCAACGGACUAAGUUACCCUAGGGAUAACAGCGCAAUCCUAUUUAAGAGUUCAUAUCGACAAUUAGGGUUUACGACCUCGAUGUUGGAUCAGGACAUCCCAAUGGUGCAGAAGCUAUUAAUGGUUCGUUUGUUCAACGAUUAAAGUCCUACGUGAUCUGAGUUCAGACCGGAGCAAUCCAGGUCGGUUUCUAUCUAUUUACAAUUUCUCCCAGUACGAAAGGACAAGAGAAAUAGAGCCACCUUACACAUAAGCGCUCUUAACCCAACCUAUGAAUAAAAUCUCAAUAUGAUACAUAUGUACAAUCAUUAUUUACCUAGACAAGGUC